GACGAACGCUGGCGGCGUGCCUAAUACAUGCAAGUCGAACGCUUCUUUCCUCCCUAGUGCUUGCACUCAAUUGGAAAGAGGAGUGGCGGACGGGUGAGUAACACGUGGGUAACCUACCCAUCAGAGGGGGAUAACACUUGGAAACAGGUGCUAAUACCGCAUAACAGUUUAUGCCGCAUGGCAUAAGAGUGAAAGGCGCUUUCGGGUGUCGCUGAUGGAUGGACCCGCGGUGCAUUAGCUAGUUGGUGAGGUAACGGCUCACCAAGGCCACGAUGCAUAGCCGACCUGAGAGGGUGAUCGGCCACACUGGGACUGAGACACGGCCCAGACUCCUACGGGAGGCAGCAGUAGGGAAUCUUCGGCAAUGGACGAAAGUCUGACCGAGCAGCGCCGCGUGAGUGAAGAAGGUUUUCGGAUCGUAAAACUCUGUUGUUAGAGAAGAACAAGGACGUUAGUAACUGAACGUCCCCUGACGGUAUCUAACCAGAAAGCCACGGCUAACUACGUG
This 508-nucleotide ribosomal RNA is filed under the name uncultured bacterium. Its description in RNAcentral is "partial 16S ribosomal RNA". It matches the Rfam family "Bacterial small subunit ribosomal RNA", at positions 28 to 507 of the family's 1533-position model. The record is from RNAcentral.